RNAcentral lists this long non-coding RNA (537 nucleotides) under Monodelphis domestica (gray short-tailed opossum). RNAcentral's name for it is "lncRNA (ENSMODG00000032536.2)". Lineage: Eukaryota; Metazoa; Chordata; Mammalia; Didelphimorphia; Didelphidae. The record is from RNAcentral.
CAGGGACCCUGCUGCCCGCACAUUGUACUAAUAUUAGUUACCUAUCAGCAGCCCUCCCCUUAUGAGGGGCGAUGGAUUUACCCUGUUGCCUGGAGACCAGACUCAAACAGAGACCCAGAGAGAGCACCGGGCGCUGGCUCCAGAGGGGUUAAGAACGAGUCCUGGAGCAGAUAACUCCUGGAAUGGAUAAUGGAGCCGAGUAAUCCCAGGAAAGUGAAGCCUCAGCUCGAGCUGGGGGGAGAUGACAGGAAGAAGGCAGCGUCUGUGGACCCCCUCCCCAGAUUUGGAGCUGUGGAAGCAGAAACAAGAGAAGAUACACAGACCCACAAGACUCCUGAGUCUUGGUCUCAAGGUGGGGGGGAUCCUUUCCGGGCCCUGGAAGAUGCAAGCCUGUCUUUUAUCAGCCACAUGGCGAGACCACCAUACUUUAAAUUAGUCAAUAUGAGUCAAAUUCUACAUGGCUAAUCAGCCCUGCUCUUAAUCCUUUUAACCUUCUAAGAUCUUAACAAAAGAAGGAAAGUCCAGACUCAGUUUAAU